AACGAACGCUGGCGGCAGGCCUAACACAUGCAAGUCGAGCGCCCCGCAAGGGGAGCGGCGGACGGGUGAGUAACACGUGGGAAUUUUCCUCAAGGUACGGAACAACUCAGGGAAACUUGGGCUAAUACCGUAUGAUGCAGAGAUGCCAAAGAUUUAUCGCCUUGGGAUAAGCCCCGCGUCAGAUUAGGUAGUUGGUGAGGUAACGGCUCACCAAGCCUGUGAUCUGUAGCUGGCUGAGAGGACGAUCAGCCACAUUGGGACUGAGACACGGCCCAAACUCCUACGGGAGGCAGCAGUGGGGAAUCUUGCGCAAUGGGCGAAAGCCUGACGCAGCCAUGCCGCGUGAAUGAUGAAGGUCUUAGGAUUGUAAAGUUCUUUCGCCUGUGACGAUGAUGACGGUAACAGGAGAAGAA
RNAcentral lists this ribosomal RNA (413 nucleotides) under uncultured bacterium. RNAcentral's name for it is "bacterial SSU rRNA". It matches the Rfam family "Bacterial small subunit ribosomal RNA", at positions 29 to 489 of the family's 1533-position model. The record is from RNAcentral.